GCCACUUUAGCUCAGCAGGUAGAGCACCACCAUGGUAAGGUGGGGGUCACCGGUUCAAGUCCGGUAAGUGGCU
This 73-nucleotide transfer RNA is filed under the name Liquorilactobacillus nagelii. Its description in RNAcentral is "tRNA-Thr(ggt)". It matches the Rfam family "tRNA". Rfam says of the family: Transfer RNA (tRNA) molecules are approximately 80 nucleotides in length. RNAcentral also lists the same sequence under 2 other names. Lineage: Bacteria; Bacillati; Bacillota; Bacilli; Lactobacillales; Lactobacillaceae. The record is from RNAcentral.